CUACGGGACGCUGCAGUCGAGAAUCUUCCGCAAUGGGCGCAAGCCUGACGGAGCAAUGCCGCGUGAGGGAUGACGGCCCUAGGGUUGUAAACCUCUGUCAGAAGGGACGAAGAACGUGACGGUACCUUCAGAGGAAGCCAUGGCUAACUACGUGCCAGCAGCCGCGGUAAUACGUAGAUGGCGAGCGUUAUUCGGAAUUACUGGGCGUAAAGGGUCCGUAGGGGGUCUGCCAAGUCUGAUGUGAAAUCCUGCGGCUCAACCGCGGAACUGCAUUGGAAACUGGCGGACUAGAGUGUGCGAGGGGUGAGCGGAAUUCCUGGUGUAGCGGUGGAAUGCGUAGAUAUCAGGAAGAACACCGAUGGCGAAGGCGGCUCACUGGCGCAUCACUGACCCUGAGGGACGAAAGCGUGGGUAGCAAGCAGGAUUAGAUACCCCAGUAGUC
This 442-nucleotide ribosomal RNA is filed under the name uncultured bacterium. RNAcentral describes it as "partial 16S ribosomal RNA". It matches the Rfam family "Bacterial small subunit ribosomal RNA", at positions 339 to 795 of the family's 1533-position model. The record is from RNAcentral.